GGGCAUUGCUUACAGGGGUCACAGACAUUCAGAUCAUGGCAGAACUGUCACAGAUGUUACUUUGUGAAAACACAAAGAAUAAUGUGUUUGGAGAGAUCAGUCUUCAAUUAGCUAUAUUUUCUAGGAGCCUACCUUUACUUAGCCUCACAACAUGGGCCUUAGCUUUAGCACUUAAUCUGCACAAAUACCUGGCUUAAGUGUUAUGACUGACUGGCUAUUCAACCAAACCAUACAAAUGACCAAUUCGGUAAGAAAGCAUGAACUUCAGUGUUGAACCAAAUCAACCAACCUCCUCAAUCCAAAUGAACAAUGCUAUUCUAGGAGUCUGUGCUAGAAUAAAAUCCUAAUGCAAAGGCUGUCUUAAAAUGCUGAACCCAGAAGAAUUUGGCAUAAAUAAGACAUGGAGUUAGCUGACAUGAGAUAUUACAUUUAUUCCACUGUUGACGAGGACAAAACUGGGCCGCUAUUGUCACAGAAAACGGAAGCAUGUUUGGGCUGAGAGGACAGGUUGCCAGUUGUCUGAACCAGUCAUUCCAACCAGGCUUCACACUUCUGCAAAGAAGAGAGGGCUAGAAUGCCCAGUAGGAGUGCAGACUGGAGGAUCGGCUGUUUUUUGAACUGGAGACAUCACAGGAAACUGGGGAGGCUCCAAAUUGCUAACCUGAGGCCGGAGCAAAAACUUUUUUUUUGUCGAAGGGACUGCUUUUUUUAUUUCCCCUUCAACGGAUGGCAUCCCAAGUCCUGCUGGAUUGCAUCUGUCUUUGUUCCUGCAGCCAAGCCUUAUAGCUGGCUCACACUCUGCCAUGCUCAUAACCUCACACUAGAAAGGAUAUUACAAAGAGGGGCAAACACCCUAGAGGGUUCCCCUUUAUCAGAACCUUCCCUGUCAGUG
RNAcentral lists this long non-coding RNA (892 nucleotides) under Homo sapiens (human). RNAcentral describes it as "HSALNT0302714". The record is from RNAcentral. Lineage: Eukaryota; Metazoa; Chordata; Mammalia; Primates; Hominidae.